This 1447-nucleotide long non-coding RNA is filed under the name Gopherus evgoodei (Goodes thornscrub tortoise). RNAcentral describes it as "lncRNA (ENSGEVG00005020147.1)". Lineage: Eukaryota; Metazoa; Chordata; Testudines; Testudinidae. The record is from RNAcentral.
CUAGCGCAAUGGGAUCCUGGUCUGUGACUGGGAUUAUGAGGCAGUUCUGCAAUACAAAUAAUCACAUGCUGAUCUACAGAAAUACUUUUGUACCCUGGCCAUCCCCACUGGCUUAAGAGAUUAGUCACUAAAAAUGAAAAUAUGUGAACUUGACAUCUGCAGUUUAACUCAGUCCCCUCUUCUCCUGCACUGAGUGUUCUUUCUACUCAGUACAUGCUGUCUGAACACACAGCACAACCGUGAUGGAUGGUGACAAAAAGCCUGGAGACUUUUUUCCCAUUUGAUGGGUCUUGUGAUGUCCUGGGUCAUGUAUAUGGACCUGGAGAAGAAAGAGGAGGUGACAUUCAUUUGGAUGAAGAGGAAUUUUGGACAAUGGAUUAUGUCUGGAAAAGCAGGAGUUCUGUUUCACUGAUCAGCUCUCCUCCCGAAGUGCAGUGAAGCAACAAGCAUUAGCUUUAGGCUCUUAUGGCAACUUUUUAUACAAUGGAUUUCGUUGCAUAUGUUCCUCUUGCUCAUGCCACCAUGGAAAUAGGUAACACAUGGUUACAAGCCAAGUAUGAUUAAAAAAAAAAAAGGAUUGCCUCAGGUUAGGCUGUUGAGUUCAUAUCUAGGUCCCCAAAUAAAUGGCUUGACUUAUACCAGCACUGAGUAACAACAACACCACCACCAAAAGAGUCUCAGCUUACUGUAAGCACUGAUUUAGCUGAGUUCUCUAUCAAUCUUGGCAUUAAAUGGCAAACAGUUACCAAUCAUCUGUUAAAAGGUAAAAAGGUAACAUGGUUCCUAAAAAAAAAAAAAAAAUGUGGAAAACUGGACUAUUCAUAUUAUACACGCAAAUGGGAACAUGUUAAGAAUUGCCACUGCAGAAAAGCAUAACAGCUUACCAUUGGUAUAACGUUUUCUGGAUGGUCUCCCACAACUACUGGCAUGCUAAUGUUACUACCCCUAAUUGUUUUUGGUUUUAAAUUGUAUGUGUUUAAUUGAAAUGUUUAAAAUGUGCUGGUGGAUAAAACAAACGUAUGUAAAGCUAAAGCCAAAGGCCCAAAUCACCUCCCAGUAUUUUCUAUUACAUGGACUAAAUAAGAAGUGACACUAGCGAUUAAUAAUCUUAGUGUCAAAAGGGGGAUAUGUAGGAGCAGGAUUUUAUAAUGUCCCAUAAGAAUUGAAGUAUAAUUUGAUUUCAUCCUGCUAGCCACCUUUUUUAAAUAGCAGAAAGAACUGACCCCCUGGGACUAAAAGAUUCUGUUUUCCCAUAUGCAUUACAAAUUGGGCCCUCUCUAACUCUUUGUUUUAAGAUUUAGGUAGUAAGAGACAGGAUUCUCUAUUGUGUCUAUGUUAAGUAAAUUAGAGAAACAUUGAAGGCCUGGGUCUCAAUGUAAAUUGUCUUGGUUAUCAAUUGUAAAACCUAGCAAGGUUUAAUUUGCAAUGCUUUUUUGUUCUAUAUAAA